UCUGAGGUGCCGGUUAAAAGCGCAGGCUCCUGGGCCUGGCCCCAGACCCACUGAAUGAGAAGCUCCGCGGUGGGGCCCGGGGAUCUGCAUUUUUAGCCAGCCUCUGGGCUGAUUCUGAUAUACGCUCCUUUGACACCUCGCCUGCCCCGGGGGUCAGGGGGGAGGGCGGUGGUUGGUGGUGUUCAAAGCCAGAAACUACGUGCAAGGUUGUGUGUUGUGUGCGUGCCCUUUAUGGAGAGAGUCCGUCUGGUGCUUCCAGCAGUCUUUUAAAGGGUCUGGACCAUCAGGGUGUCAAGAAUUGCUGUCUUCUCUUGUUCUUACUCUCACACCUCCGCAGAAGGUUCUUCGUGGUCAUCCCGUGCAAAAAAAAGCAGAGGCGUGCCUGCAGGGAGGUCCCACUGCACAGUCCUGCUGGCCCCCUCCCUCUGCCAGGCCUGACACAUAAGGGAUCAGACCCCCUGAAGUCUGAUGCUGCUUGGGAAGCCAACCAGGGCCCUGCAAGAGAGAAGGCUAAGGCAUUCGGGGGACCUUCCCUGGCACAGGGCACAGAGCAUGCUGGGAGGCGGUGGUGGCUGUCCUGGUGUCAUCUGUCGGGCUGCAGGAGGACUAGCAGUGGUGUGUGCUUGCCCCUGACCCAGGCACUUGCUGCUGCUUUCGUGGAGAGGGCAGGGUGAGCCACAGGGAUAGAAGUCAUAGAGAGCUGGAGCCCAGCACACACUGCGCCCCGGGCAUCAGGCAAGCCCUCAGCUCCUUCCUCUGUCCAGUUGAGGUGUUUGUGCCACCAACCCCGAGGACCUGGAGGAUGAGGCCUUGUAUCUCCAACAGCAGGCUUCUCUUUCCUGUGGACGUCCGGCUCCCAAAAUCCCAUCCUCCCGGCAGAGAGCACUCAGUCUUCCUGGAAGCUGGCUUCACAGGCCUGGGAGCAACACCUUCCCAACUUGCCUGGACCCUUUGUGUGUAGAAUACAGCUGUGGGCAUCUCCAAAGAGCCCAGGCUGGGAAACACGUGGAUACCUGCAGGACUGCCAGAGAGACACAGCGAGAGAGAGAACACAAGCAGGGGGAGCGG
Long non-coding RNA from Leptonychotes weddellii (Weddell seal), 1068 nucleotides. RefSeq lists it as uncharacterized. The record is from RefSeq and is a predicted model, not a curated record. Lineage: Eukaryota; Metazoa; Chordata; Mammalia; Carnivora; Phocidae.